GAUAAACGUUGGCGGCGUGCUUUAUGCAUGCAAGUCGAACGGUCAAUCGCAAGAAAGAUAGUGGCAAACGGGUGAGUAAUACGUAAGUAACCUACCCCUAAGUGGGGAAUAAUUCGCCGAAAGGCGGACUAAUACCGCAUGUGGUGGUUCUUCACAUGAAGAAUCAAGAAAACCGCAAGGUGCUUGGGGAGGGGCUCGCGUCCGAUUAGCUAGUUGGUGAGGUAACGGCCCACCAAGGCGAGGAUCGGUAGCUGGUCUGAGAGGAUGUCCAGCCACACUGGGACUGAGACACGGCCCAGACUCCUACGGGUGGCAG
Molecule: ribosomal RNA, 316 nt
Filed under: uncultured Chloroflexota bacterium
Lineage: Bacteria; Bacillati; Chloroflexota
Description: bacterial SSU rRNA
Rfam family: Bacterial small subunit ribosomal RNA
Source: RNAcentral